RNAcentral lists this ribosomal RNA (497 nucleotides) under uncultured bacterium. RNAcentral describes it as "partial 16S ribosomal RNA". It matches the Rfam family "Bacterial small subunit ribosomal RNA", at positions 28 to 507 of the family's 1533-position model. The record is from RNAcentral.
GAUGAACGCUGGCGGCGUGCCUAAUACAUGCAAGUCGAGCGAACGGACGCGAAGCUUGCUUCUCUGAUGUUAGCGGCGGACGGGUGAGUAACACGUGGAUAACCUACCUAUAAGACUGGGAUAACUUCGGGAAACCGGAGCUAACACCGGAUAAUAUUUUGAACCGCAUGGUUCAAAAGUGAAGGACGGUCUUGCUGUCACUUAUAGAUGGAUCCGCGCUGCAUUAGCUAGUUGGUAAGGUAACGGCUUACCAAGGCAACGAUGCAUAGCCGACCUGAGAGGGGGAUCGGCCAGACUGGAACUGAGACACGAUCCAGACUCCUACGGGAGGCAGCAGUAGGGAAUCUUCCGCAAUGGGCGAAAGCCUGACGGAGCAACGCCGCGUGAGUGAUGAAGGUCUUCGGAUCGUAAAACUCUGUUAUUAGGGAAGAACAUAUGUGUAAGUAACUGUGCACAUCUUGACGGUACCUAAUCAGAAAGCCACGGCUAACUACGUG